UUCGGAGCUAACGCGUUAAGUAGACCGCCUGGGGAGUACGGUCGCAAGAUUAAAACUCAAAUGAAUUGACGGGGGCCCGCACAAGCGGUGGAGCAUGUGGUUUAAUUCGAUGCAACGCGAAGAACCUUACCUACUCUUGACAUCCAGAGAAGCCAGCGGAGACGCAGGUGUGCCUUCGGGAACUUUGAGACAGGUGCUGCAUGGCUGUCGUCAGCUCGUGUUGUGAAAUGUUGGGUUAAGUCCCGCAACGAGCGCAACCCUUAUCCUUGUUUGCCAGCGAGUAAUGUCGGGAACUCCAGGGAGACUGCCGGUGAUAAACCGGAGGAAGGUGGGGACGACGUCAAGUCAUCAUGGCCCUUACGAGUAGGGCUACACACGUGCUACAAUGGCGCAUACAGAGGGCUGCCAACCAGCGAUGGUGAGCGAAUCCCAAAAAGUGCGUCGUAGUCCGGAUUGGAGUCUGCAACUCGACUCCAUGAAGUCGGAAUCGCUAGUAAUCGUGGAUCAGAAUGCCACGGUGAAUACGUUCCCGGGC
Molecule: ribosomal RNA, 535 nt
Filed under: Vibrio ichthyoenteri
Lineage: Bacteria; Pseudomonadati; Pseudomonadota; Gammaproteobacteria; Vibrionales; Vibrionaceae
Description: bacterial SSU rRNA
Rfam family: Bacterial small subunit ribosomal RNA
Source: RNAcentral